CAGCACGGUAAUACGAAGGGUGCAAGCGUUAAUCGGAAUUACUGGGCGUAAAGCGUGCGUAGGCGGUUUGUUAAGUCUGCUGUGAAAUCCCCGGGCUCAACCUGGGAAUGGCAGUGGAUACUGGCAAGCUAGAGUGUGUCAGAGGAUGGUGGAAUUCCCGGUGUAGCGGUGAAAUGCGUAGAGAUCGGGAGGAACAUCAGUGGCGAAGGCGGCCAUCUGGGACAACACUGACGCUGAGGCACGAAAGCGUGGGGAGCAAACAGGAUUAGAUACCCCGGUAGUCCCUGUCUCUUAUACACAU
Molecule: ribosomal RNA, 301 nt
Filed under: uncultured bacterium
Lineage: Bacteria
Description: partial 16S ribosomal RNA
Rfam family: Bacterial small subunit ribosomal RNA
Source: RNAcentral